RNAcentral lists this ribosomal RNA (1008 nucleotides) under Triticum aestivum (bread wheat). Its description in RNAcentral is "partial small subunit ribosomal RNA". Lineage: Eukaryota; Viridiplantae; Streptophyta; Magnoliopsida; Poales; Poaceae. The record is from RNAcentral.
AUGGUGCUUCAACUUGUGUGUCAGGUGGUCAGUGUACUCUGGCUUGCCGUUCAUCACUUCGCAGAACACCGCCGACAAAACUUCGGCAAGCACACCAAGAACAUUCGCUUCAAAGAGAACUAUGGACGCGAGCCCGGAGCCCACCGCCGUGCCAUUAACCAUAGCAAGGCCUUCCUUGGGUUGCAGCUCGAAGAAGCCGUGCUGGAUGCCCGCAAUCUUAAAUGCCUCGGCGGCAUUAACCUUGGUGCCAUCAGGAGCCACGGCCACGGCAUUCGGGCGGCCGGUGACAAGUCCCGCGAUGUAGGAGAGCGGGACGAGGUCGCCGGAAGCGGUGAUGGUGCCCCGGAGCGGCAGGCACGGUGUCACGUUGGCAUUGAGCAGCGUGGCGAUGGUCUCGAGGAUCUCGAAGCGGAUGCCGGAGUAGCCUUGGAGCAGGGUGUUGACGCGGACAAGCAUCGCCGCGCGCGUGGUGGCCGCGGGCAGCACGUGGCCGUCGCUGCCGGUGCCGAACGCCCCGGCGUUAAGGAACCGGAUGAGCUCCCUCUGCAGCGCGCCCCCCUCCUUGGUCCUCCGAUGGGAGGUGGCGCCGAAGCCGGUGGUGACGCCGUAGCUGUCGGUGCCGUUGGCCAUGCUGGUCAUGACCCAGUCGCUGCUCUCCUUGACGCGGCCGCGGGCGGACUCGUCGAGCUCCACCCUGGCCCCGUCGGCGGCGGCCACCGCCGCGACCUGGGCGAUGGUCAAGCUUGCGCCCUCCAUAACCACCACCGGCCUGCGGUACUCCUCCACCAUCCGCUUGACGGCGUCCAGGUGGCUCCCCGACAGCGCCUCCGCGGCUUUCCCCCAGUUGAGCGGGUCGGCACUCCGCGGCUCGGCCACGCACAAACCGUCGUUGCCGUUGGCCGCCAUUGGUUUGAUCUACAAUGGAUCUUGAAGUCUCGAUGUAGCAGUUGUGGGAGAGAAGAGCUCGAGCAGAGACUAGAGGCUGGCGAUCUCUACUGUAGCAGCUGA